This 909-nucleotide ribosomal RNA is filed under the name uncultured Bacteroidota bacterium. RNAcentral's name for it is "bacterial SSU rRNA". It matches the Rfam family "Bacterial small subunit ribosomal RNA", at positions 36 to 916 of the family's 1533-position model. Lineage: Bacteria; Pseudomonadati; Bacteroidota. The record is from RNAcentral.
CCCGAGCCCGCGUCUUACCAUGCAGUCAGGGAGAACGGGGUAGCAAUAUCCCUAGUAAACCGGCGAACGGGUGCGUAACACGUAGGCAACCUUCCUCAAGGACGGGAAUAACCCCGGGAAACCGGGGCUAAUACCCGAUAUGAUACGAUUGCAGCAUUGUAAUUGUAUAAAAGGCCCCACAAGGGCGCCGUGAGAUGGGCCUGCGUCCCAUUAGAUAGUUGGCGGGGUAAUGGCCCACCAAGUUAACGAUGGGUAGCUGGUCUGAGAGGACGAUCAGCCACACUGGAACUGAGACACGGUCCAGACUUCUACGGAAGGCAGCAGUGAGGAAUAUUGCUCAAUGGGCGAAAGCCUGAAGCAGCGACGCCGCGUGAGGGAUGAAAUCCGUUAGGAUGUAAACCUCUUUUGCGAGGGAAGAAUGACCCGAUGAAUCGGGUAGGGACUGUACCUCGUGAAUAAGCACCGGCUAACUACGUGCCAGCAGCCGCGGUAAUACGUAGGGUGCGAGCGUUGUCCGGAAUUACUGGGUGUAAAGGGUCCGCAGGCGGGGAGAUAAGUCGACGGUGAAAUUCUGCAGCUCAACUGCAGACCUGCCGUUGAUACUGUCUCUCUUGAGUUCGAGAGAGGAUAAUGGAAUUCAUGGUGUAGCGGUGAAAUGCGUAGAUAUCAUGAAGAACACCGAUUGCGAAGGCAGUUAUCUGGCUCGACACUGACGCUCAGGGACGAAAGCGUGGGUAGCAAACAGGAUUAGAUACCCUGGUAGUCCACGCCCUAAACGAUGGAUGUUCGGUGUCGGUCCCGCUCGGGAUUUCGAGAGAAGUUUCGAGCGGGGCCGGUGCCUGAGCUAACGCGUUAAACAUCCCACCUGGGGAGUACGAUCGCAAGGUUGAAACUCAAAGGAAUUGACGG